AAGCAGCACCCUCCAUGGCCUCUGCAUCAGCUCCUGCCUCCUGGUUCCUGCUGUGCUUGAGUUCCUGUCCUGACAUCCUUUGGUGAUGAACAGCAAUGUGGAAAUAUAUUCUAUGAAUUUUCCCAGGAACCUGUGACCAAAGGUCUAUUUCACAUCAGAUAGCCUACUCACCUGAGGGAAAGACAGUGCCUAAGAUCACAGGUCAAACCAGGCAUGGUUGUUUAUACCUGUACUCCAAACGUUAAGGAAGUAGACGCAGGAGGAUCCGAGUUCAAAACCAGCUCUGAAUGUACAGAGAAUUCGAGGCCAGCUGGGCCUACAGGACCCGUUUCUCAACAACUAACCAACCAUGGAAACAAGAGAAACUUUGAUCCUCAGAGAGAUCUAGAAGCCUGAGGAAGCCUGCAAGCAAGACUACUACAUGCAAGCCUACAACCUCCCUCAAGCUUCCUUACCCUAAACCGGAGAGUCACCCCCUGAGCCUCCUUCCAGCUGGGGAACCCACUCCUUGGUCAGCAGUCUCCAAAAUGAAGAAACGGAAAGAGCCAGAGCCGACUGAAGUGUGUCCGUGAGUAUGCGCAGCCCUCGGUGUGGCUGACUUAACUCCUGCGUUUUCCCGCAGCCCUUUCUCUGUAUUCAUAGCUCAUAGGAAAGUCACGUUUUGCUGUAGAACUAAAGUUUAUGAUGGCG
This 690-nucleotide long non-coding RNA is filed under the name Mus caroli (Ryukyu mouse). RNAcentral's name for it is "lncRNA (MGP_CAROLIEiJ_G0005597.1)". Lineage: Eukaryota; Metazoa; Chordata; Mammalia; Rodentia; Muridae. The record is from RNAcentral.